UUUCCUACGGGGGGCAGCAGUGGGGAAUAUUGCACAAUGGGGGAAACCCUGAUACAGCGACGCCGCGUGCAGGAAGAAGGUUUUCGGAUUGUAAACUGCUUUAGACAGGGAAGAAACAAGACAGUACCUGUAGAAUAAGCUCCGGCUAACUACGUGCCAGCAGCCGCGGUAAUACGUAGGGAGCAAGCGUUAUCCGGAUUUAUUGGGUGUAAAGGGUGCGUAGACGGGAAAUUAAGUUAGUUGUGAAAUCCCUCGGCUUAACUGAGGAACUGCAACUAAAACUGAUUUUCUUGAGUGUUGGAGAG
This 305-nucleotide ribosomal RNA is filed under the name uncultured bacterium. RNAcentral describes it as "bacterial SSU rRNA". It matches the Rfam family "Bacterial small subunit ribosomal RNA", at positions 335 to 656 of the family's 1533-position model. The record is from RNAcentral.